UUGUUGUGAGGUUCGAUAUUUCUCCUCAUGGGUUGCAGAACUUGUUGUUGCUCCUCUAUAUCUCGGUUGCCAGUAUGCCUUUGCUCUUGCUCCAAGAAUGAUUUUUUUCCCAAUGGGCAGAUACUCUGGUUUAAAUCUAUAAAUGUAGAUUUAUGUCCAUUUUUGGAGUGGCAUAGCUGAGGAUUCAUCUUGUUAUCAAUUAUAAUAU
Notechis scutatus (mainland tiger snake) is the source of this 208-nucleotide non-coding RNA. NCBI's taxonomy places the organism in Eukaryota, Metazoa, Chordata, Lepidosauria, Squamata, Elapidae. The record is from RefSeq and is a predicted model, not a curated record.